AAGGGUACAGCUCAGUGGUAGAGUUCAUGGCUAGCAUGCAUGAGGUCCUGAGUGCAAUCCCCAGUACCUCUG
Molecule: transfer RNA, 72 nt
Filed under: Camelus bactrianus (Bactrian camel)
Lineage: Eukaryota; Metazoa; Chordata; Mammalia; Artiodactyla; Camelidae
Also listed under: 2 other names
Rfam family: tRNA
About the family: Transfer RNA (tRNA) molecules are approximately 80 nucleotides in length.
Source: Rfam by way of RNAcentral